GGGCGAGUGGCGAAAUGGCAGACGCGCUAGCUUCAGGUGCUAGUGAUCGUAAGAUCGUGGGGGUUCAAGUCCCCCCUCGCCCA
Molecule: transfer RNA, 83 nt
Filed under: Actinomycetes bacterium
Lineage: Bacteria; Bacillati; Actinomycetota; Actinomycetes
Also listed under: 2 other names
Description: tRNA-Leu
Rfam family: tRNA
About the family: Transfer RNA (tRNA) molecules are approximately 80 nucleotides in length. Their secondary structure includes four short double-helical elements and three loops (D, anti-codon, and T loops). Further hydrogen bonds mediate the characteristic L-shaped molecular structure. tRNAs have two regions of fundamental functional importance: the anti-codon, which is responsible for specific mRNA codon recognition, and the 3' end, to which the tRNAs corresponding amino acid is attached (by aminoacyl-tRNA synthetases). tRNAs cope with the degeneracy of the genetic code in two manners: having more than one tRNA (with a specific anti-codon) for a particular amino acid; and 'wobble' base-pairing, i.e. permitting non-standard base-pairing at the 3rd anti-codon position.
Source: RNAcentral